GGAACAAGAACAUCUGCUUAGGUAGAAAUGAGUAGGUGACAAGGUGUAGCAUGCCUUCCUAACUCUGUCACAGACUUCAGCAUAUUUAAACCAGUAAGUACAUCAUCCCCUUCACUUUGUAUGGUCACAGUCCAGUAAGUAUGCACAUCACUAUAGCUACAUACAGUGAAUCUUUAUAUUGGAGUAAUUUCACGGAUACUAAUAGGAUAAAGGAGGAGAGCUGUAGUAGUAAAAUUAAUCUGGUAACAGGUGUGUCGAGAUUGCAUGUACUUUUUUUUUUUUUUUUUUUAAAGGUAGAAGUAUACAACCUGAUUAGACAAAACAUUAGUCUCUCUGGCUACUUCUAAACUAUGUAGCACAGGCCUAACAGAAGGUAUAGGUGGUCCGUAAAUCACUUAAAUCCAUCUAAAAUAUAUCCCUGCCCUCUCUGCCUCCCACUUUGAAAAUGUAGCGGGGGAAAGAAUGGGAUUGUGUGCACCCCAGAGCUAAAGUGACAAGAACAAAAGAUACAUCUAAGCUACACAUAGUGCACAGAAAAGGGUAAUGAUUUUGGAUCGCACAGUUUAGGUAUAGCUUUUACAGCAUGAUCUGCUCUCUGGGAAAAAAACAAAACAAAAAACAAAACGGCCCAAAAACGAACACCACAGUGUGUGGGGUAAUAUUUCUGCAUCUUACAAAGGGGAUUGGAAAUACAGCUUUUACAUGUAUUACAAAUGUCUGUCUUUACUACUGAAGCACCUUUGUUUGGCUUCAGUUCCACUGUCAUACAUAAUAUGAAGACAGUUAUGCAAAACAGGAUCAAAACAUUUAAGGCACAGGAAGUGCCAUAACUAAAUUUGCUUGAGCUCUGAAAGUAUAUGUAAAAAGAUUUUACAGAAUAAAACCGCAACAAUAUUAAGCACAUUUUCUCAGCAAUUGUACCGUUCUUUCCAGACACAUAUAGUACAAUAUUAUUCUGUGUCAAAAGCCUCUUCAGAAAAUAAGGGCAGAAUAGCUUUUCAUAGACUGCAUUUUCUUAAAACACAAAACAAAACCAACCCAGCCGUAGCCAAAAUGUGCUUUGUUUUGACGUUAGGCAUGAUUAAACAGUUGAGGAUUUCCACACAUUUUCUGGAGGAAAAGGCAAAAGGAAGAAAAUACAAUAGCAACAAAAUCUCAUCUCUUCCUCCUGAAAAAAACCACCACGCAAUUAGCUGAGUUAGGCAUAAAAAAUCGAACUAAUAAUUUAAACUACAAUAAAAUCAUAAGCAACUUAGAAGUCUGCAUUUAAAUACAGUAGCAGUUAUUUAAAUAGCUUAGAUUUCAGUUUCCCAGUUUUCACAGCAGUAUCUACAGCAGCCAAAGAAUUGUUUCAAUGCAUGUGCUAGAGCUUCUGAAAGUCAUCUAAAAAAUAUAAUCAAGUUUAUUUAUUUAUGAGGUUUCCAGUACACCGCAUAGCACAAAAGCAUUUCCUAGAAUCUACUUCGAUCACAGUAUCCUUUCAGAAUUCCACUACACCUAGUCAGACAUUUGUCUCCUCUACUUGCCCUUACACUUUUGAUUUCCCACUGUAAAGCUGCAAAGACAAAACCACAUCCAAAUAUUUGUUUUGGUAUUACAUAAGAAACUCUUAAAUAACAAUUUGACCAUUACAAGGUGAUUUAAGUCAAGAGAGGUUAUUUUAAAAGAAAUGCUCUGAGUUCAGCAAAAAGAAAAAAAAAAAAAAAAUCCCUUUUCAAUUAUGAAAACCACAUAGUCUUCUCCAGGCAAACCUUCCAAAUAUUUUGGAAUAUCUCCCCUCUAUUCUUCCUCAGAUAAGGGAUACUGAGAUUUAUUUUUCUGUAGGUUCUGCUCUUUAUACCUGUAAAAUUUUGGCUUUGUCUUCACUGCAGGGCACACCACGGUAAAACUGAUCCCCCUGAUGCACAUCAGCCAAAGAAAACAUUGACUGUUGUUGGAGGAGAUUGCUACUCCUUUCUUCUUUAAUGCCACUUCUGAUUCCCCCUGCCCUAGAGAAAAUCGGUUAUAUGUUUGGAGAUGGAGAGGCUGUCUCUUCGAAAAGGAUCACUGAUUUCUGGGGAUAACAACUGCAUUCUUCAGAAGAUUUUGUCAAACCAAUUCACCACCCUUUUAGGUCAACCUGAACUUCAGUUGCAUGUUUUUUGGAAAGAGAGUGCUGUAUUGGCAUGAAGGAAUCAUUGCAACAUAUUUUACCACUAAGAAUUUAGAAAAGAAGCUCUGCAGAUACACUGUAUGAAUUCAGAACUCACUUAACAGAAUUGUAAGGAAUAAGACUAUGGGAAUUUUAGGGAAUAAGACAAACUUUACUCCAUAUUGUCUGAUUUUCUGUGAAACAGCCAGAUAACGUUUAGUUGGAAAACUGCUGCUUAAUUUUGGCAACGCCAAGAGCCUCGGGUGGGUCGUUGCUGGAGACAUGGCAUAGAAGAUUUGGAUUUUGGGGAAGAUUUUGUAUUGCUACAGAAGAAACUCCUCUGCGUACAAAACCACUGAGGACUUACAGAAAGCGAAAGCUGAACGUGAACAGGGGAGGAGGGAGAAGGGAACCAGCUGUGCCUGGCUGAAACUGCAGCAGGCGUUGACCAGUUGACCAGGGAGCUGCCCCCCAGCUGCAGCCCGGCCAGCUCCGCGGGGACGUGAGCGCAGGCAGCCACGCUGCUUCCCACCGACGGCCAGGCGCACCCCAUCUGCCAGGCAUCACCCCGCAGCCACAGCCCCCAGCACUUCUCCACCGAAAUCCACACCUGCUGCACGGCACGCGCUGGUAACCGAUACGGAGAAUGAUGUAAACGAAAGAAAAUAAACUACAGAAUUAUACAGGGACUGGCAGGCAGAUACCUGCAGAUCCGUAAAACUGUCCUGGUUUCAUGGGUGAACAGAUUGAAAUCUGAGCUGAGCAUUCUUCUCUGGGUUUGUUUGUUUCCCCAAUAUAUUUUCUUUCAGGCAAGCACAGAGAUGAACAGUAACUACUGUGACAAAGGUAACCCAGAACAAAAUCCCUAGGAACUUGCCUAAUGGGUCAUGCACCCCGUAGCCUAUUUGCUGUUUUAAACAACUGUAAGGACAGGAGGCGGUCUCCCUUGCAGAACACAGACGUCAGACAUCUAUCCCACUCCUUCAUGAAUGUUUUUUCUGCCGAACAGAAACCUGACCCAGUACUUGGUUGUUUUUCACUUUAAACAAUUCAGUCACUGACAAUGGUAGAAGUGAUACACUUAUGUACUUCACGAGGGAAGAAAGUAAGUUAACUGGGGAAGAGUAACCUGCUUUUUCUCUUUCAGCACCUGAGACGUUUCACGUUCGGAUCCAUUGUUAAAGCACCUGUGUAAACAUCAAAAAUAACACCCUGUACAAUACAUUCUGUUUAUGUUUCUUGACCUCUUCCAGAAGCCAUAGCCUUUACAGCAAAAGCCAUUUGAGGGAGUUUGCAGCUGAUGAAGAUAGCUGGAAACUGUUUUCUGCCCAAUGCCAGGAAGCAAAUCUCACUACUGUUAGUUCGCAUAGCAGACUCUUCAGCUGUCUUCUCAUGGGGAACAGACCAAACAGAAGAGAGGAAUAAAUAAAUCACCCCA
Molecule: long non-coding RNA, 3569 nt
Organism: Tyto alba (common barn owl)
Lineage: Eukaryota; Metazoa; Chordata; Aves; Strigiformes; Tytonidae
Exons: 3
Source: RefSeq, a predicted model, not a curated record